UAAAUCAAACCGUAGUUAUUCCAUUCAUUUUAAAUUAUUAAUUUGCUAUUAUAUACAAUUUUCCAUUUCUUAAUUACAAUUUCAUUAAACCAAGACCAUUCCCAAUACGAAAACUCAUCCAACAAAACAAUAUUAGUCCCAGUAAACCGACCCCAAGCAUUCUUCCUCUUCUUCCUCGAGCAGUCCAGCGAAGAAACGGGAAACCCAGGAAUUCGCCCAGCCCAGCGAACCAAAAUCGCGACCUGAGUCCAGCUCACGCGUCCCUCUCAUCUCUCUUAUCGUACGAGAACAGCACAGGACACGGCCAGAUGUCAAAAUCUCGAUGAUCGAUCGUCCUUCUUGAGAACUCGAACAACUCUCUUCAUCCAUCCGUGUCCCCAUGGACUCUACCUCCGCAUUUCCAAAGGGCCAUGAAGGCCCCAGAACCUCAUGUUCCUCGAGUCGAGUCUCGAAAUUGACGUACAGGUUUCGAAGUUGAAGGAUUCGAAGCGAAUUGAAGAGAGUCGAAGAGAUUGGGCUAAAAUGCUCAAAUGCAUAUUUCUUAAGAAUUUGUAUUUUGUUAUUUAUAUGCCUAAAUCUUGUAAACUUCCCUUAUUAUUAUUUUGCUAGAUCUAGGACAAGUGAAAAUUUUUGGGUCUUAGUCUCAAAGAAAUAAUUAUUAUGUUGAUUAGCUUAGUACAGGUACAAACCAAUUGGGUCUAAGAUCCAAAAACAAAAUGGGUUCAAAUACAGGUCCAGGCGGACGGAAUCCGAAUUUAGACCGA
Long non-coding RNA from Solanum lycopersicum (tomato), 764 nucleotides. RefSeq lists it as uncharacterized. NCBI's taxonomy places the organism in Eukaryota, Viridiplantae, Streptophyta, Magnoliopsida, Solanales, Solanaceae. The record is from RefSeq and is a predicted model, not a curated record.